RNAcentral lists this ribosomal RNA (497 nucleotides) under uncultured bacterium. RNAcentral's name for it is "partial 16S ribosomal RNA". It matches the Rfam family "Bacterial small subunit ribosomal RNA", at positions 28 to 507 of the family's 1533-position model. The record is from RNAcentral.
GAUGAACGCUGGCGGCGUGCCUAAUACAUGCAAGUCGAGCGAACAGAUGAGGAGCUUGCUCCUUUGACGUUAGCGGCGGACGGGUGAGUAACACGUGGAUAACCUACCUAUAAGACUGGAAUAACUUCGGGAAACCGGAGCUAAUACCGGAUAAUAUAUUGAACCGCAUGGUUCUAUAGUGAAAGACGGUUUUGCUGUCACUUAUAGAUGGAUCCGCGCCGCAUUAGCUAGUUGGUAAGGUAACGGCUUACCAAGGCAACGAUGCGUAGCCGACCUGAGAGGGUGAUCGGCCACACUGGAACUGAGACACGGUCCAGACUCCUACGGGAGGCAGCAGUAGGGAAUCUUCCGCAAUGGGCGAAAGCCUGACGGAGCAACGCCGCGUGAGUGAUGAAGGUCUUCGGAUCGUAAAACUCUGUUAUUAGGGAAGAACAAAUGUGUAAGUAACUAUGCACGUCUUGACGGUACCUAAUCAGAAAGCCACGGCUAACUACGUG